UAAUAAGUGUUUUAUGGCACUUUUUAAAUCCAUAUCCACCUUGUGUGCAAUGUCGGUCGAUCUUCUUUUUUGAGGAUCGACCAAACAUCAACCUUUAUUUUUUAACUCCUUGUCUGAAAAAUAUUAUGAAUAAACAAUUCAAAAUA
Molecule: unclassified non-coding RNA, 146 nt
Filed under: soil metagenome
Description: partial internal transcribed spacer 1
Source: RNAcentral